GAUUAAAAACAAAAAUGACAAUGACAACAGGAGACUGACAGAUAUGGAUUAAAAACUGAGUGUUGAUCAAACUAUUGGAUUGGCAUUUUUACUAUUUUUAACCAGUUAAUAUGGGUGUGAUGAGUGAAAAAUGAUCAAAUCUUACCUGUGAAGAUACAUAUAUCUUUAGAAUGAAUUAUUCGAAUAUUCAAAGAGCGAGGAUUUUAUACAAAACAAUACUCAAACUUCACAGAGGUCUCCCAGAGGAACUACAAAUAAUAGGGACAAAUUAUACCAGGGAUGAAUUCAAGAGGCACAAGGUUUGCAGUGAAAAAGAAGCUGAAGUAUUUAUUAUCGAAUGGACAAAUUAUGCACUCAUCCUGGCAGAGCAGCUGGGGCUUAGAGGUCCCCAGAGAGGUUGUAGUGGACCUAGAGGUUCCCAGAUUAGUGCCAAGAAAUUAGGAGUUCCUUUAUCAGAGAAAGAGUUGGAUCAAUUCAGAGAUGAACAGGUUCAUCAACUUCUUGAACUGAUGCAAGAAGCAACAAAAGUGAAAAUAAAAUAAUGAAAUGGUAUCCAAUCAAAAUUUUCACAAGAAUUGUUAUAUUAUCUUAUCGUGAAGACUGACAAAAUUUGUCAAUAAACCAUCCAUCACAAGUUCAA
Long non-coding RNA from Leptinotarsa decemlineata (Colorado potato beetle), 640 nucleotides. Lineage: Eukaryota; Metazoa; Arthropoda; Insecta; Coleoptera; Chrysomelidae. The record is from RefSeq and is a predicted model, not a curated record.